GACGAACGCUGGCGGCGUGCUUAACACAUGCAAGUCGAACGAAGUGGCGAAAGGGUGAGUAACGCGUAAUCAACCUGCCCUUCAGAGGGGGAUAACAGUUGGAAACGACUGCUAAUAAAGCAUACUGCAGGAGGGGAUUGCGUCUGAUUAGCGAGUUGGAGGGGUAACGGCCCACCAAGGCGAUGAUCAGUAGCCGGUCUGAGAGGAGGAACGGCCACAUUGGGACUGAGACACGGCCCAGACUCCUACGGGAGGCAGCAGUGAGGAAUAUUGGUCAAUGGGCGUAAGCCUGAACCAGCCAAGUAGCGUGCAGGACGACGGCCUAUGGGUUGUAAACUGCUUUUAUGCGUGGAUAGGUACCGCAUGAAUAAGGACCGGCUAAUUCCGUGCCAGCAGCCGCGGUAAUAC
Molecule: ribosomal RNA, 408 nt
Filed under: uncultured bacterium
Lineage: Bacteria
Description: partial 16S ribosomal RNA
Rfam family: Bacterial small subunit ribosomal RNA
Source: RNAcentral